UGGUAACCAAUGUUUCAAUGGCUGGUAAUUUAAUAAACACUUUCUGGUCACUGAAAAUGAGGACAACUAAUGACAUGCAUGAUACACAUUCAAGAGAAGAACCCAAGGCUGAGAGAAAGUGACUGCAUUAGAAUCCCUUUUAGGCAAAUGACUCUGAUUUCUUUUGCCUUUUGGUUACAACUACAAAAGAUGUCUUCUGAGACAAAUGCUGGUGCAUGACAUCAGGACGAAGGAAUGCUCAGCUCAGUCCAGCAUGUUUAAAAGCAUCAGCUGCUUGAAAAAAAUGUUACAUUUUUCAGGAUGGAUUAAAAAAUGACGAUGAUCCCCGAGAGGGGGAAGUAGGUGCAGACUUUAAAAGAAGUUUUUUUUGUUGUUGUUGCUAUUAUUUCCAAGGAUCAGAGACAUACUCAAAUUAGAAUUAGAUUUUGAACAUUAGCCAUACAGUGUUUUUCCUCACACAGAAGAUAUCCUAUGGUCUUUAUUAAACAGGUGAUAGUAAUAACAACAGUAGGACAGCAUAAAUUGUAAAUUUUAUAAAAAGCACAAACUUAAAAUUGUAAAGUUUAAGGCCUGAAUCUUUUAUUUUAGACAGUAG
RNAcentral lists this long non-coding RNA (595 nucleotides) under Vulpes vulpes (red fox). Its description in RNAcentral is "lncRNA (ENSVVUG00000029942.1)". The record is from RNAcentral. Lineage: Eukaryota; Metazoa; Chordata; Mammalia; Carnivora; Canidae.